GCAGUGCUUUUCUUCUUCCUGUGCUCUUUUGCAUCUCUCUGUUUCUUUCAACUACUCACGUUGCUGCUCUCCAAGGUGUCAAAUUGAAAAAUCAGAUACUGGAUGUGACUCCAAUUAAACUUGUGACAGACCCUUUGUCUAAAGAAGAUGUAUUAUGUGAACGCAUACUAAUCAUUGGUCUAUCACGAUGGAGACUUAGCAGUUAUUCUAGUGCAUA
This 217-nucleotide unclassified non-coding RNA is filed under the name Hevea brasiliensis (rubber tree). Lineage: Eukaryota; Viridiplantae; Streptophyta; Magnoliopsida; Malpighiales; Euphorbiaceae. The record is from RNAcentral.